Molecule: ribosomal RNA, 253 nt
Filed under: uncultured bacterium
Lineage: Bacteria
Description: partial 16S ribosomal RNA
Rfam family: Bacterial small subunit ribosomal RNA
Source: RNAcentral
GACGUAGGGCGCGAGCGUUGUCCGGAUUUAUUGGGCGUAAAGGGCUCGUAGGCGGUCUGUUGCGUCGGGAGUGAAAACUCAGGGCUUAACCCUGAGCCUGCUUCCGAUACGGGCAGACUAGAGGUAUGCAGGGGAGAACGGAAUUCCUGGUGUAGCGGUGAAAUGCGCAGAUAUCAGGAGGAACACCGGUGGCGAAGGCGGUUCUCUGGGCAUUACCUGACGCUGAGGAGCGAAAGUGUGGGGAGCGAACAGG